UCCACUCCAGGCACCGAAGAGCCCUGCCACAGCCCUCCCGACUUCCCUGUCCCCUGGGAUCCCUGCCCUGCGUGGGCGCGGGCUUAAGGCUCCGCAGCAGCCGGGCGCCUCAGCCUACCUCGCUGAGCUUGGCACGAAGACCGCCAUCUGGACGUCCCCCGCGGGCCAGACCCUUGACUGCUUCUACUUGGCGUUGCCGCUGUCGCCCGGGAGGGUUGAGGACCCGCCAAGCUCAGCUCCUGUCCUGGGGUGCUCGGAAUCCUGUCUUGGGGCCCUGGGCAGCUCCUCGCUGCCUCAUCCUCCCGGAGCCCUGGGGAAGGGACAGCGCGUUGGCGCUGGGGGUGUCCGGAGCCCCUGCCUCCCGGCCUCCAUUCCACGUCCUCCAGGAGGACGAUUUCCGUCCCUCCACUCUAAGUCCUGUCUCGGCUCUUCCAUCCAACCUUAGAGGGGACACAGACCGAUUUUGGCGCCCGAGGUCCCCCAGCCCCCAUCGCCAACCCCCUCACCCUGCGGUCUUCUCGCCCUGUCCCUUUCAGUAGGGUCUGGACACCGGCAGCUUCUCCGCGCUGACCCACCCCACCUCGAGCCCCUGCCUCCACCUUCUCCUGCCUCAGCACCCCCGGCGCGGACAGCUCCUCGCUGUCGCCUCCACCCCUGGCCCUGGCGGGACCCAGGCGCGGACCUCCUGGGCGCCUGCUCGCGGGGACAGCUCCCGCGCCCUGCCCUCCUCGCGUCCCUCCCGGGCGCAUGGAGACCCCGGGGGUCUGCGACGGGGCCGAGGCGUGCGGCGGGCCGAGCCGCGCUCGCAGCCGCCCGGGCGCACCCAGGCCCCCGAAG
RNAcentral lists this long non-coding RNA (837 nucleotides) under Marmota monax (woodchuck). Lineage: Eukaryota; Metazoa; Chordata; Mammalia; Rodentia; Sciuridae. The record is from RNAcentral.